RNAcentral lists this small nuclear RNA (139 nucleotides) under Macaca fascicularis (crab-eating macaque). RNAcentral's name for it is "U4 spliceosomal RNA (ENSMFAG00000052141.1)". It matches the Rfam family "U4 spliceosomal RNA". From Rfam's summary of the family: U4 small nuclear RNA (U4 snRNA) is a component of the major U2-dependent spliceosome. Lineage: Eukaryota; Metazoa; Chordata; Mammalia; Primates; Cercopithecidae. The record is from Rfam by way of RNAcentral.
AGCUUUGCGCAGUGGCAGUAUCUUAGCCAAUGAGGUCUAUCUGAGGCGUGAUUAUUGCUAAUUGAAAUUUUUCCCAAUACCCUGCCGUGAUGACCUGCAAUAUAGUUGGCAUUGGCAAUUUUGACAGUCUUUACAGAGA